RNAcentral lists this ribosomal RNA (484 nucleotides) under uncultured bacterium. RNAcentral's name for it is "partial 16S ribosomal RNA". It matches the Rfam family "Bacterial small subunit ribosomal RNA", at positions 28 to 507 of the family's 1533-position model. The record is from RNAcentral.
AUUGAACGCUGGCGGCAUGCUUUACACAUGCAAGUCGAACGGCAGCGCGGGCUUCGGCCUGCUGGCGAGUGGCGAACGGGUGAGUAAUGAAUCGGAACGUGACCAGUCGUGGGGGCUAGCCCGGCGAAAGCCGGCUUAAUACCGCAUACGACCAGAGGGUGAAAGCGGGGGACCGAAAGGCCUCGCGCUAUUUGAGCGGCCGAUGUCGGAUUAGCUCGGUGGUGGGGUAAAGGCUUACGAAGGCGACGUUCCGUAGCUGGUCUGAGAGGACGACCAGCCACACUGGGACUGAGACACGGCCCAGGCUCCUUAGGGGAGGCAGCAGGGGGAAAUUUGGACAAAGGGGGCAACCCUGAACCAGGCAUGCCGCGUGCAGUAAUGAGGCCUUCGGGUUCGAAACCGCUUUUGUUCGGGAAGAAAUCCUCGGGUCUAAUACCCCGGGGGGAUGACGGUACCGUAAGAAGAAGCACCGGGUAACUACGUG